AUUAUUACAUGACUUAUGAGUUCUUAUAGAUCCCAAGGUAUAAUUUUAUUAUUCGUAAUUUAAUCUUGCAGAAUAAAUGCAAGUAUUAAAAGUAUAAAGUAUAAAUAAAGGUAUUGACCACAUAAACAGGCAACGUUUCUGAAAAAUUAAAAUGUUAGUUGAUCAAGUUCGUGGAAGAUUAAAUAUAAGAUUAUGUUAGACAUUUUACAUUUCUGACCGAAUGAAGGCGUUUGCUUUUUUGAGGAUCUGCCAUAGAUCUACUAGCCUACAUUUCAGCUAAUCUCCGCAAAACGCUUCAUGCCAUUCACGAAUCCUAAAAUGGAAAUCAAGCAUCAGUGAGGAUAGGUCAUCAUAGAAAGACUGACUUUUGGAAUGCCGACAAACGAAACGAAAAUAGGAAAAAUCGGAUCCAUAUUCUACGCUAAAAUUAUUCACAGGAAGUGUUAGUCUUUUUUAUUGUUUUUAUUUUUAGUCUUCUGAAACAAAAUGUCGCACCACCAAGGUGAAUACCCUCUCAUAAACAUAAAGGGAACCCAUCUGGCAGAAUAAUGACCCGCCCCAUCAACGGGGUGAUUUACACAGAGAGAGCAAGAAAAUAAAGGGGAGAGGAGCCUUUCUAUUACCAUAAACACACCCUCCCUCCCUGCUAGAGCUGCCCCAGUCAACUGUAAGUGCUGUUAUUGUGAAGUGGAAACGUCCAGGAGCAACAACACCUCAGCCGUUAAGCGGCCACACAAGCUCACAGAACGGGGCUGGCAAGUGCUGAAGUGCGCAGCGUGUAAAAAUAAUCUGUCCUUUGUUGCAACACUCACUACAGAGUUCCAAACAACCGCUGGAAAAAACAUCAGCACAAGAACUGUUCAUCAAAGGCUUCAUGAAAUGGGUAUCCAUGGCCGAGCAGCUGUACACAAACCUAAGGUCACCAUGCACAAUACCAAGCGUGGUCUGGAGUGGUGUAAAGCACACAACCAUUGGACUGUGGAGCAAUGGAAAUGUGUUCUCUGGAGUGAUGAAUCACACUUCACUGUCUGGCAGUCUGACGGAUGAAUCUGGGUUUGGCGGAAUGCAUGGUGCCAACUGUACUGGCCCAAAUAGUGCCAACUUUAAAGUUUGGUAGAGGAGCAAUAAUGGUCUGGGGGUGUUUUCAUGGCCCCUUAGUUCCAGUAAAGGGAAAUUUAAAUGCUACAGCAUACAAUGACAUUCUAGGGAAAUGUGCACUUCCAACUUUGUGGCAUCACUUUUGCGUAGGCUCUUUCCUGUUUCAGCAAGCUCCUGUGCACAAAAUCCAUAAAUAAAUGGUUUGCUGAGUUUAGUUGGGAUGAACUUGACUGGCCUGCCCAGAGCCCUGACCUCUACCCCAUCAAACACCUUUGGGAUAAAUUGCCAUGCUGACUGCAAACCAGGUCUUAUCGCCCAACAUCAGUGCCUAACCUCACUGAUAUGCUAGAGGCUGAAUGGAAGUGAAUCCCUGUAGCCAUGUUCCAAAAUCUACUGGAAAGUCUUCCAAGAAGAGUGGAGGCUGUUACAGCAGCAAAGGGGCUCCAGUUCCAUAUCAAUGCCCAUGGUUUUGGAAUGAGAUGCUCAACAAGUACAUAUGGGUGUGAUGUUCAGGUGUCCAUAUAAGUUGAACAAAGGCAUAACUUAAGUUCCAACCACCUGCUGUAGGCUUGGCUACUCCCAAAAGUAAAACCUAGCUAUAUCGAUACGAUCGUUUUCAUCAUUGUAUCUAUUGCUAUAGUUUAACAAUACUUAACUUGAGAUAUGAACCCAUAAUAUUGUGCACAAGAUAAAAGUGGAAUUGCCUUUAUAACCGUUAGCUAACAUUAUCAAGCUAGCAAGCUAGACUAGACUCUAGGUUAUUUGCAAACUACUGUGUAGCUAAUGUUAGGAUACAGAAAGUUUGUGCUGUAGGAGACAGACAGAUUUGUGUAUUCCAAAACCUCACGUGCAUGUGAGAGUCCGCCAUUGUUUUACAAAGACAACCAAUAAGACACAGUGGUAGAAAUUGCAGCCUAUAGGGCAACUCUGUAUAACAAACAACCAAUCAGAGUUCAUGCUGUAUUCUGCGCACAAAUUUGAAUAUAUGUAAAUGUAACUGUAUAAACUCCACAAACUCUAACAGUUGAAUUGAACAUUUUUGUGUGAAUCCCUGUUGCUGGCUUUCUGUAUAAUAAAUGCUUCCUGAUUUUUAAACACUAA
Anguilla anguilla (European eel) is the source of this 2199-nucleotide long non-coding RNA. RefSeq lists it as uncharacterized. NCBI's taxonomy places the organism in Eukaryota, Metazoa, Chordata, Actinopteri, Anguilliformes, Anguillidae. The record is from RefSeq and is a predicted model, not a curated record. The transcript has 2 exons.